Molecule: ribosomal RNA, 208 nt
Filed under: uncultured bacterium
Lineage: Bacteria
Description: partial 16S ribosomal RNA
Rfam family: Bacterial small subunit ribosomal RNA
Source: RNAcentral
AGCGUAGAUGGAAUGGCAAGUCUGAUGUGAAAGGCCGGGGCUCAACCCCGGGACUGCAUUGGAAACUGUCAAUCUAGAGUACCGGAGGGGUAAGUGGAAUUCCUAGUGUAGCGGUGAAAUGCGUAGAUAUUAGGAGGAACACCAGUGGCGAAGGCGGCUUACUGGACGGUAACUGACGUUGAGGCUCGAAAGCGUGGGGAGCAAACAA